This is a long non-coding RNA of Puntigrus tetrazona (Sumatra barb), 1315 nucleotides long. RefSeq lists it as uncharacterized. The record is from RefSeq and is a predicted model, not a curated record. NCBI's taxonomy places the organism in Eukaryota, Metazoa, Chordata, Actinopteri, Cypriniformes, Cyprinidae. The transcript has 3 exons.
AAAAAAAACAACCAAAACAAGGCUUUAAUAGCUCAUAUCCGCACGAUCGAUCUGUUCGAAAUUACUUUUUUUGUUGUCCUGCGGUGGCCCUUGGCGCGCCGGUUCGCAAUCUCGCCACUCCAAAAGUUGCAAAGGAAACAACAGUGUAAUUUCGAGCAUAUAGCGAUUAAUGGCACGCUCGCUUUCACAGCCCUCGCGGUGUAACGGCGAGGUAAAAGCGGAGAAAGCAAACGUCGGACGCGGACGCCUGAAUCCACGCACACCACUCGCAUUUCCGUUGCGUAGCUGGAGGGAUUUACGGGGACUUAAUUCCUUAAAACUGUCCUCUCGUCCACAUGACGCUCGAAACCGCGAGUGCUCAAGCUGAUAUACCCAAAUGUAUCAAGAGAUGAGUGCAUCGCAUUGCCACGGGGCUAGAUUAGGGCCUUUUAUAAGACACGUAGAAUACACGUGAAACCAGUGUGGAGUGGCGCGACGAGGAGGUGAAUUAGGUGGCUUUAAAAAUGUUAAAAACAACAUGUUGCCAAUACCCACUCCGAGACACGUCUAUCGGGAUUCUUCUUGUGUGGGAGGAAAGCCGACUGUAUCGUAACAGCUUUAAGUGUAUACAUUUUAAGAUAUCCCGAGAAGAGGAGAAGCUGACAAGCGCCCGGGUGACUCGACACGCACGGACAAAUGAACAACGAUGCAGAAAAAAAAAAAAAAAAACUUUACACUUCAAGACAGGAUGGAAAGCUUCAGUUAUGCACCUGCUAUUGUGGAAUGUCCUGGAGAUGAUGACAGCCACCAUUAUCCUGGUCCAAAUGUUUUGCAAAGCACUGGUGGGCAAAUGCAAAGUGGACAUCAUCUGAUGUUAUCUUAUGCGAAUGUUUGGAGGAGCACAGUAGGAAAGGAUCGUUUCUUCACAGUUUUAUUAACAACUGAAGAUUAGAACAUCUUUAGUGGCUUUUCAAUUACGACACCAUGUUGCACUUACUCCGAAACCGUUGGAUUGAUAAGAACAAAACGACUCUGUUGAUCAUUUAAAUGAAUGUUUGACUUGACUGUAUCUUCCGGUGGUAAAUACAUGGUGAUCGUUUCUGUUCUUGAUAAGGUUUUGAGUUCAGAUGAAAUCCCUAGACGUGGACAUAAUUUAGCGUGAUGCAUUACAGAUGAGCCUGCCUUAAUAUUCUCCCAAAUGUUUCUCUGAUUUGACAUAAUUGUGAUAAUUGUUUAAAUGCGAUAGCAGUCGAUUUUUGAUGAGAGGAACGCUUGAACGUGAAGGUAUAUUUGCACGAAGUAAUUACUGUGAAUAAAAGAGCUCGUUUGAUCUUUA